This 393-nucleotide ribosomal RNA is filed under the name Quantula sp. SBAB-2012. RNAcentral's name for it is "partial 16S ribosomal RNA". It matches the Rfam family "Archaeal large subunit ribosomal RNA", at positions 2005 to 2688 of the family's 2987-position model. The record is from RNAcentral. Lineage: Eukaryota; Metazoa; Mollusca; Gastropoda; Stylommatophora; Dyakiidae.
UGGCCGCAGUACUUUGACUGUGCUAAGGUAGCAUAAUAAAUUGACUUUUAAUUGAAGUCUAGAAUGAAAGGAUUAAUGAAUAUUAACUGUCUUAAUUAAAAGUUUUAUAAUUUUCUUAUAAGGUGAAAAUUCCUUUAAGUUAAUUUAAUAGACGAGAAGACCCUAGGAGUUUGAAUUUUGUUGGGGCAACAUUAUAACAUAUCAAACUAUAAGAUAAAUAUAUUUUAUUAAAAGAUGUUUUUAAUAAUAAAUAAGCUACCCUAGGGAUAACAGCAUAAUUUAUUUUGGUUAAGUUUAUGACCUCGAUGUUGGAUUAGGAACUCUUAAUAUUAAUUAUAUUAAUUGAUUGUUCUGUUCGAACAUUAUAUCCUACGUGAUCUGAGUUCAGACCAG